Molecule: long non-coding RNA, 227 nt
Organism: Ixodes scapularis (black-legged tick)
Lineage: Eukaryota; Metazoa; Arthropoda; Arachnida; Ixodida; Ixodidae
Exons: 3
Source: RefSeq, a predicted model, not a curated record
UAUCGGACUCUGAGCCACGGGUAUUCGCUUCUUGCGUACCCGACAUCCUCAUGUGGCAGGAGUCUGUGAACGUUUAUUCAGGAACGUCUACAACCAACCUGACGUGCCCGGCUCCUGCGACGCCGUUUGCUGCCACUUUAGAACCACUUUCGGUGCAUGGGCGGGAUAGGACGGCACUUGUGGCACUGGCACUGGCACCGGUUACACUGACACGGUCUUCAUGUGGG